CCCUUAGAUGUCCUGGGCUGCACGCGCGCUACACUGAUGUGUCCAGUAAGCACCUAACCUCUUCCGAAAGGAACGGGUAACCUUUGCAAAGCACAUCGUGAUGGGGAUAGAUUAUUGCAAUUAUUAGUCUUGAACGAGGAAUUCCUAGUAAGCACAAGUCAUCAGCUUGUGUUGAUUACGUUCCUGCCCUUUGUACACACCGCCCGUCGCUCCUACCGAUUGAAUGUUCCGGUGAGCUCUUCGGACUGCGCGGUCUGCAGUUUCUGCGUUCCGUGCGGAAAGUUGCGCAAACCUUAACAUUUAGAGGAAGGAGAAGUCGUAACA
This 324-nucleotide ribosomal RNA is filed under the name uncultured eukaryote. Its description in RNAcentral is "partial 18S ribosomal RNA". It matches the Rfam family "Eukaryotic small subunit ribosomal RNA", at positions 1470 to 1796 of the family's 1831-position model. The record is from RNAcentral.